Oreochromis niloticus (Nile tilapia) is the source of this 548-nucleotide long non-coding RNA. RefSeq lists it as uncharacterized. The record is from RefSeq and is a predicted model, not a curated record. The transcript has 3 exons. NCBI's taxonomy places the organism in Eukaryota, Metazoa, Chordata, Actinopteri, Cichliformes, Cichlidae.
UUAAAUAGAGGUUUUGUAAUUACUUAAUCUCAGUUAAUUGUACAAGAAAAUUUGCUGUAAAGCACAAAUGUUUUCAUUUUGAAGGUUUAGUGGGCAAGAGAACCAAAUAAUAGACAUGGACAUAAAUAUUGUAAAGUCAAGCUCUUUCAAUUUAUUAGGGAAAAAACAAACAUUUAAAUUGCAUUUCAGUGCAACACAGAGAAACAAAAACAAAAACAAUAUCCCUGGACAAAAUUGUAAUAUCUUUUUUGCUUCUGUUUUUCUUUGUGGGGGAAGCAGACCAUAAUUACCAAUGAUGGUAACUGGAGGAAAAAAGCAACAUCCUCAGCAGUCUGGAAGAAUCACACCCAUCAGAUUGACAUGUGAUAGCUACAUGUUUGCUGACUGGUUUUUCCUCAUGUCUGCAGGUUCCAUCAACCCCCUCCAUACUCUCCCCGGGGGGGGGCGACAGCACAACGGAGCCUGCCCCACCCCUCACCCACCCACCCCAAGUGGCAAAUGUGUGGGAUGAGGCAUGAAGGUAUUCCACCGUCACUUUCGUUGUCCUG